Molecule: ribosomal RNA, 301 nt
Filed under: uncultured bacterium
Lineage: Bacteria
Description: partial 16S ribosomal RNA
Rfam family: Bacterial small subunit ribosomal RNA
Source: RNAcentral
CAGCAGCCGCGGGAAUACGGAGGGUGCAAGCGUUAAUCGGAAUUACUGGGCGUAAAGCGCACGCAGGCGGUCUGACAAGUCAGAUGUGAAAUCCCCGGGCUUAACCUGGGAACUGCAUUUGAAACUGUCAGGCUGGAGUCUUGUAGAGGGGGGUAGAAUUCCAGGUGUAGCGGUGAAAUGCGUAGAGAUCUGGAGGAAUACCGGUGGCGAAGGCGGCCCCCUGGACAAAGACUGACGCUCAGGUGCGAAAGCGUGGGGAGCAAACAGGAUUAGAUACCCGAGUAGUCCCUGUCUCUUAUAA